RNAcentral lists this ribosomal RNA (207 nucleotides) under uncultured bacterium. RNAcentral describes it as "partial 16S ribosomal RNA". It matches the Rfam family "Bacterial small subunit ribosomal RNA", at positions 568 to 774 of the family's 1533-position model. The record is from RNAcentral.
CAUGCAGGCGGAUGCUUAAGUCGGACGUGAAAGCUCUCGGCUCAACUGGGAGAGGUCGUUCGAAACUAGGUGUCUUGAGGGUAGUAGAGGAGAGUGGAAUUCCCGGUGUAGUGGUGAAAUGCGUAGAUAUCGGGAGGAACACCAGUGGCGAAGGCGGCUCUCUGGGCUAACCCUGACGCUCAGAUGCGAAAGCUAGGGGAGAGAACG